RNAcentral lists this ribosomal RNA (378 nucleotides) under uncultured bacterium. RNAcentral describes it as "bacterial SSU rRNA". It matches the Rfam family "Bacterial small subunit ribosomal RNA", at positions 30 to 410 of the family's 1533-position model. The record is from RNAcentral.
AUUGAACGCUGGCGGCAUGCCUUACACAUGCAAGUCGAACGGCAGCGGGCCUUCGGGUGCCGGCGAGUGGCGAACGGGUGAGUAAUGCAUCGGAACGUGCCAUUGAGUGGGGGAUAACGUAGCGAAAGUUGCGCUAAUACCGCAUAUUCUGUGAGCAGGAAAGCAGGGACCGCAAGGCCUUGCGCUCUUUGAGCGGCCGAUGUCAGAUUAGCUAGUUGGUGAGGUAAAGGCUUACCAAGGCGACGAUCUGUAGCGGGUCUGAGAGGAUGAUCCGCCACACUGGAACUGAGACACGGUCCAGACUCCUACGGGAGGCAGCAGUGGGGAAUUUUGGACAAAUGGGGGCAACCCUGAUCCAGCCAUGCCGCGUGAGUGAAG